RNAcentral lists this long non-coding RNA (455 nucleotides) under Homo sapiens (human). Its description in RNAcentral is "non-protein coding lnc-CCL22-2:1". Lineage: Eukaryota; Metazoa; Chordata; Mammalia; Primates; Hominidae. The record is from RNAcentral.
AUGGCACCAAAGGCAAAGAAGGAAGCUCCUGCCCCCCUAAAGCUGAAGCCAAAUCGAAGGCUUUGAAGGACAAGAAGGCAGUGCUGAAAGGUGUCCACAGCCACAUAAAAAAGAAGAUCCACACAUCACCCAUCUUCCCGUGGCCAAGACGCUGCGACUCCAGAGGCAGCCCAGAUAUCCUCAGAAGAGCACCCCAGGAGAAACAAGCUUGACCACUAUGUUAUCAUCAAGUUUGUACUGGCUACUAAGUUUGCCAUGAAGAAGAUAGAAGACAACUCAUUGUGGAUGUUAAAGCCAGCAAGCACCAGAUCGAACAGGCUGUGAAGAAGCUCUAUGACACUGAUGUGGCCAAGGUCAUCACUCUGAUUCAGCCUGACGGAGAGAAGAAGGCACAUGUUAGACUGGCUUCUGAUUACGAUGCUUUGGAUGUUGCCAACAAAGUUGGGAUCAUCUAA